RNAcentral lists this ribosomal RNA (429 nucleotides) under Acidobacteriota bacterium. RNAcentral's name for it is "Acidobacteria bacterium partial 16S ribosomal RNA". It matches the Rfam family "Bacterial small subunit ribosomal RNA", at positions 355 to 776 of the family's 1533-position model. The record is from RNAcentral. Lineage: Bacteria; Pseudomonadati; Acidobacteriota.
UGGGGAAUUUUGGACAAUGGGGGAAACCCUGAUCCAGCCAUCCCGUGUGUGCGAUGAAGGCCUCCGGGUUGUAAAGCACUUUUGGCAGGCAAGAAACGUCAUGGGUUAAUACCCCGUGAAACUGACGGUACCUGCAGAAUAAGCACCGGCUAACUACGUGCCAGCAGCCGCGGUAAUACGUAGGGUGCAAGCGUUAAUCGGAAUUACUGGGCGUAAAGCGUGCGCAGGCGGUUCGGAAAGAAAGAUGUGAAAUCCCAGAGCUCAACUUUGGAACUGCAUUUUUAACUACCGGGCUAGAGUGUGUCAGAGGGAGGUGGAAUUCCGCGUGUAGCAGUGAAAUGCGUAGAUAUGCGGAGGAACACCGAUGGCGAAGGCAGCCUCCUGGGAUAACACUGACGCUCAUGCACGAAAGCGUGGGUAGCAAACAGG